Molecule: long non-coding RNA, 264 nt
Organism: Helianthus annuus (common sunflower)
Lineage: Eukaryota; Viridiplantae; Streptophyta; Magnoliopsida; Asterales; Asteraceae
Exons: 3
Source: RefSeq, a predicted model, not a curated record
ACGUAUGCGACUAGAGGAAAGCUCCAUGGGAGCUCAAACCCUAACUUCAACAAAUCAACAAAAUUGAAGGAUCAAACCAAGUUCAAAUCGAAAAUGGAGCAUAGAUUACUGAUCCUCAUCACAAGAGGAUCACAAGUUGGCGCUUAACAAGCUAGGUGGAGCUUGGGGAGAAAGCGGGUCAACCGAAUCAAGAAGGAAAAGAAAAGUGUAGCUUGGAUACGAGGUACUUUUUGGAUGCCGGAAGACGAUCAAGCUCAACGCAGG